Long non-coding RNA from Nerophis ophidion (straightnose pipefish), 1946 nucleotides. RefSeq lists it as uncharacterized. The transcript is spliced from 4 exons. NCBI's taxonomy places the organism in Eukaryota, Metazoa, Chordata, Actinopteri, Syngnathiformes, Syngnathidae. The record is from RefSeq and is a predicted model, not a curated record.
UCUUCCGUAAUCGAGCUGUGUGCCUCGACUCCCCUUUGGACUUUGGACUGCCUAUAUCGAUCCUCGACCGCCGCUUUGGACACGGACCUCUUGGCGCCUCUCUCAGCCCCACGGACCACCCGCCUGUCUCACGGACUUUCUUCUAUCCAGCCCCUUUGGACUUAUCCGCCUCCUCACUCAACACUCAGGUCAUGGCGCAUGCGCAAUCCUUCAGGCCAUCUGCAGCAAGUGCAGCCGGCAGCUUUGCUAGGAGUGCGCCGGGACACGCCCCUGCUCGCUCUUCCCGCAUCGCGGCCACACGCCUGCAAGGCUCCAGGCAAUCAUCGAUCAGCGCACCUGGAUCUGAUGAGGGCAGACGGCAUAAAGACCAGCGGACCCAAAGAUCCUGUGCCGGAACGUAGUUCACUGCCCGUAUGAUCCCUCCCUUAUCCUGUGAUCGAGCUGUGCGCCUUGACUCCCCUCCGGACUUUGGACUGCUUCCUUCGAUCCUCGACCCUCGCUUGGACACGGACAUUGUCGCCUCUCUCCAGAUCCGGACCUCUCGCUUGCCCACGGACUGUCUUUUGCCCCUCUGUACUUCUGAAGGAUUCAUCCUACAUGCACGUACAACACCCGCUGGUAACAUUUACAUUGCGAAUACUACACAUUGUCUUGCAUCAUUUUCUUAUAGUAGCAUAGUGAAGUGAAGUGUGAAGUGAAGUGAAGUGAAUUAUAUUUAUAUAGCGCUUUUCUCAAGUGACUCAAAGCGCUUUACAUAGAGACACCCAAUAUCUAAGUUGCAUUUAAACCAGUGUGGGUGGCACUGGGAGCAGGUUGGUAAAGUGCCUUGCCCAAGGACACAACGGCAGUAACUAGGAUGGCACAAGCGGGAAUUGAACCUGCAACCCUCAUGUUGCAGGCACGUCCGCUCUACCAAGCGAGCUAUACACACCCUAGCAUAUCAUCAGAUUCAAUAUCAUGAUCUGAUUCCUGCCGUUGUGUAGUCUCCUUCCCCCCGUACAUAUCAAAGUCAUUUACAAAGAGGUAAACAUGCUAGGUUAAAGGCUGCUAGGAAAUAUCAGCUACACAACAGCUAAGCACACAAUAGCACAUAAGAUAGAUAUCCAUAUGUGACCUUUAUUGAACAAUGCUUAAAAAAAAGGUAUCUUUUUUUUUUUUUAUUUGCAUAUCACUUACUGGUACAAAGUAUAGAACACAGAAGUGUAUUACACACGAUCCAGUAACAAAUGUGUCCGCAUCAUUCCAUGUACUGUGUCAUAAUCUUAAAUAACUGAUUUAUUGUGUACACUAGGAGUCGGCAAAAAAAAACGUGCAACUCCACUUUAAAAACAUAAGUCUGUCAUAAGGUUAGUGUCAAGUCAAAGACAGAGCAGAAAAACCACCACUGAUUUGCAGAGCACACUCCAGACCUCAAAGGGCAACAGUGAGAGCUGAGGGCUGAACAUCUCCACCUGCUUCCACCAGAUUGGCUUGAUUGAGUUCACCUGUUCACCUGCUCAGAGCACAUGCUCAAAAUGUUUGAGCUUCAGUCAGUCACCCCUUUUUGACAUGCUGCUAAGAGGAAGGAAGACAGUUCCUGUGUGGACUCUGAAGACGCAACUGGAGAGCACCAUCGAGACUGGAGGAACAUCUGCGUGAAAGCCCCGUGAUCCAACCCAGGCGACCAGGCCCGGUUUGGCCUAUCUUGACUUUCUGCCUAUGAAUAAUGCAAAUGAUCGUCGAAGGAAGCGCCUGCAUUCAUUGAGGUCACAUUAACCUGUGGGCCCGAUGCAGUUGUGACAUGACAGGACAUAUAGCAUUCCACGGCUUAGACAUGUUCAUGAAAAUGAAGCCUUAAUGAGGACUCAAGAGAUUAAUGCAUUUUGAACAGCACAGCACACACACUUUUACAUGCAGCCUACAUGCAGUCGUGGUCAAAAAUUUAAAUUCACUUGUAAAUAACAUAA